GACGAACGCUGGCGGCGUGCUUAACACAUGCAAGUCGAACGGAAAGGCCCUGCUUUUGUGGGGUGCUCGAGUGGCGAACGGGUGAGUAACACGUGAGUAACCUGCCCUUGACUUUGGGAUAACUUCAGGAAACUGGGGCUAAUACCGGAUAGGAGCUCCUGCUGCAUGGUGGGGGUUGGAAAGUUUCGGCGGUUGGGGAUGGACUCGCGGCUUAUCAGCUUGUUGGUGGGGUAGUGGCUUACCAAGGCUUUGACGGGUAGCCGGCCUGAGAGGGUGACCGGCCACAUUGGGACUGAGAUACGGCCCAGACUCCUACGGGAGGCAGCAGUGGGGAAUAUUGCACAAUGGGCGGAAGCCUGAUGCAGCAACGCCGCGUGCGGGAUGACGGCCUUCGGGUUGUAAACCGCUUUCGCCUGUGACGAAGCGUGAGUGACGGUAAUGGGUAAAGAAGCACCGGCUAACUACGUGCCAGCAGCCGCGGUGAUACGUAGGGUGCGAGCGUUGUCCGGAUUUAUUGGGCGUAAAGGGCUCGUAGGUGGUUGAUCGCGUCGGAAGUGUAAUCUUGGGGCUUAACCCUGAGCGUGCUUUCGAUACGGGUUGACUUGAGGAAGGUAGGGGAGAAUGGAAUUCCUGGUGGAGCGGUGGAAUGCGCAGAUAUCAGGAGGAACACCAGUGGCGAAGGCGGUUCUCUGGGCCUUUCCUGACGCUGAGGAGCGAAAGCGUGGGGAGCGAACAGGCUUAGAUACCCUGGUAGUCCACGCUGUAAACGGUGGGUACUAGGUGUGGGGUCCAUUCCACGGGUUCCGUGCCGUAGCUAACGCUUUAAGUACCCCGCCUGGGGAGUACGGCCGCAAGGCUAAAACUCAAAGGAAUUGACGGGGCCCCGCACAAGCGGCGGAGCAUGCGGAUUAAUUCGAUGCAACGCGUAGAACCUUACCUGGGUUUGACAUGGAUCGGGAGCGCUCAGAGAUGGGUGUGCCUCUUUUGGGGUCGGUUCACAGGUGGUGCAUGGCUGUCGUCAGCUCGUGUCGUGAGAUGUUGGGUUAAGUCCCGCAACGAGCGCAACCCUUGUUCACUGUUGCCAGCACGUUAUGGUGGGGACUCAGUGGAGACCGCCGGGGUCAACUCGGAGGAAGGUGGGGAUGACGUCAAGUCAUCGUGCCCCUUAUGUCCAGGGCUUCACGCAUGCUACAAUGGCUGGUACAGAGAGUGGCGAGCCUGUGAGGGUGAGCGAAUCUCGGAAAGCCGGUCUCAGUUCGGAUUGGGGUCUGCAACUCGACCUCAUGAAGUCGGAGUCGCUAGUAAUCGCAGAUCAGCAACGCUGCGGUGAAUACGUUCCCGGGGCU
This 1346-nucleotide ribosomal RNA is filed under the name uncultured bacterium. RNAcentral describes it as "bacterial SSU rRNA". It matches the Rfam family "Bacterial small subunit ribosomal RNA", at positions 28 to 1381 of the family's 1533-position model. The record is from RNAcentral.